AUGAACGCUAGCGGCAGGCUUAACACAUGCAAGUCGAGGGGCAGCAUGAAGGUUAGCAAUAACCUUUGAUGGCGACCGGCGCAAGGGUGCGUAACGCGUGAGCAACUUGCCCGUUUCUGGGGGAUAACCGGUGGAAACGCCGACUAAUACCCCAUAGCAUUGAUUUCAGGCAUCUGUUAUCAAUUAAAGAAUUUCGGAAACGGAUAGGCUCGCGUGACAUUAGCUAGAUGGUGAGGUAACGGCUCACCAUGGCGACGAUGUCUAGGGGUUCUGAGAGGAAGGUCCCCCACACUGGAACUGAGACACGGUCCAGACUCCUACGGGAGGCAGCAGUGAGGAAUAUUGGUCAAUGGUCGAAGGACUGAACCAGCCAUGCCGCGUGAAGGAUACGGCCCUAUGGGUCUUAAACUUCUUUUGUAAGGGAGCAAUAAGUCUUACGUGUAGGAUGAUGAGAGUACCUUACGAAUAAGCAUCGGCUAACUCCGUG
This 487-nucleotide ribosomal RNA is filed under the name uncultured bacterium. RNAcentral's name for it is "bacterial SSU rRNA". It matches the Rfam family "Bacterial small subunit ribosomal RNA", at positions 29 to 507 of the family's 1533-position model. The record is from RNAcentral.